CCUACGUGAGGCAGCAGUGAGGAAUAUUGGUCAAUGGGCGCGAGCCUGAACCAGCCAAGUAGCGUGAAGGAUGACUGCCCUACGGGUUGUAAACUUCUUUUAUAAAGGAAUAAAGUGAGGCACGUGUGCCUUUUUGUAUGUACUUUAUGAAUAAGGAUCGGCUAACUCCGUGCCAGCAGCCGCGGUAAUACGGAGGAUCCGAGCGUUAUCCGGAUUUAUUGGGUUUAAAGGGAGCGUAGAUGGGUUGUUAAGUCAGUUGUGAAAGUUUGCGGCUCAACCGUAAAAUUGCAAUUGAUACUGGCAGUCUUGAGUACAUUUGAGGUAGGCGGAAUUCGUGGUGUAGCGGUGAAAUGCUUAGAUAUCACGAAGAACUCCGAUUGCGAAGGCAGCUUACUAAACUGCCACUGACAUUGAUGCUCGAAAGUGUGGGUAUCAAACAGGAUUAGAUACCCUUGUAGUC
RNAcentral lists this ribosomal RNA (460 nucleotides) under uncultured bacterium. Its description in RNAcentral is "partial 16S ribosomal RNA". It matches the Rfam family "Bacterial small subunit ribosomal RNA", at positions 338 to 795 of the family's 1533-position model. The record is from RNAcentral.